AAGAGGCAUCUCGGUGUGUUCUUGCCUGUGCUGACGUUUGACCCUUGAGCAGAGGUUGCCCUUGGUGAAUUCGCUUUAUUUAUGUUGAAUCACACAAAGGCAACUUUUGUUUGAGUAUCAAAUCCUGCUUGGGA
MicroRNA precursor from Chlorocebus sabaeus (green monkey), 134 nucleotides. The record is from Ensembl. NCBI's taxonomy places the organism in Eukaryota, Metazoa, Chordata, Mammalia, Primates, Cercopithecidae.